GUAGGUGGCAAGCGUUGUCCGGAAUUAUUGGGCGUAAAGCGCGCGCAGGCGGUUCUUUAAGUCUGAUGUGAAAGCCCACGGCUCAACCGUGGAGGGUCAUUGGAAACUGGAGAACUUGAGUACAGAAGAGGAAAGCGGAAUUCCACGUGUAGCGGUGAAAUGCGUAGAGAUGUGGAGGAACACCAGUGGCGAAGGCGGCUUUCUGGUCUGUAACUGCCGCUGAGGCGCGAAAGCGUGGGGAGCAAACAGGGAUUAGAUACCCUGGUAGUCCACGCCGUAAACGAUGAGUGCUAAGUGUUAGGGGGUUUCCGCCCCCUUAGUGAUGCAGCUAACGCAUUAAGCACUCCGCCUGGGGAGUACGGCCGCAAGGCUG
RNAcentral lists this ribosomal RNA (373 nucleotides) under uncultured organism. RNAcentral describes it as "partial 16S ribosomal RNA". It matches the Rfam family "Bacterial small subunit ribosomal RNA", at positions 527 to 896 of the family's 1533-position model. The record is from RNAcentral.